AUGGGUUCGGUGAGUGAAGGCGGCCCUACAGUAUCUUCUAGCCAAGGGAAGCGCAGGGUAGUUGUUGCAAAGAUUAAGCAUGGACUUCGUGGCACCCAUCCCACCAGUGGUGUAGCUAGUAAAAUUGUUGAUCCAUCUCUGCGUCAGAGUCCACGCAUUGCUAGUGGUCCAGUGGUUGAUCGUGUCUAUCCGAGUGUUAAGCUUGACGGAAAGCAUGUUUCUUUCGAGGGCUCAGAGGCUGGAGGUGGUUGUAGAGGACCUUCUGUUGAUGGCAUUAGGCUCGACUGGAAUAAUGUUGUUCCUAAGAAGCGUCGGCCCAAGGUUGUUGGGAGUGGACCAAACAAGAAGGCGGCAAAGUCCACGACAUCAAAUGUUGGUGCUUGCGAUAGGAUCAAUGUAAUUGUUCGAUGUUCUUUGGGAGAGGUUUCUGAGGCAGUUGCUCUACUUGACACACGACAUAAAGAUAUUGUUCGUAAGGCUGGUUUUGGCUGUGUAUUUGACUGGGUUCUGAAGGGCAAUGUGUCGCGCCUUCUGAUGUGUCACUUGAUGAAGAAUAUUGACACGGCCACGAUGCGCAUUGACUGUGGCCCUAAUAAAGUUCUUGUAGUCAACAGAGAAACCGUGCAUCAGUGUUUUGGGUUCCCGAUGGGUGAUGACACAGCUCCCAGGCCAGUUGAUAGUGGCCAUGACGAGUCAAUGGCUAGAUUUAAGGCGGAGUUGGGUUUCAACAAAGCUUCUGUGGUUGACACGGAAGACCUGAGGGCUGUGUUGAAGCAUCUUGUAGUCGAUGAGUCAAGGGACGUGCUUGCUGUAAAGGUUUUCUUUGCUAUCCUUUUCUCAAAGAUGAUAUGCCCAGGUCCUGCUGUCCGUGUAGGCAGGGAGGCGGCAAUGCUAGAUGGUAUUGUUUUUGAAGAUAUGGCAACGAUGGAUUUUUGCCAGUUAGUAGUGGAUGAGAUAAAGCGUGCAACUAUGAGAUGGCAAGAUCCAAAUAUCAUUGAAGCAGGUCCAGAAGGUUGUGGAGUAGUGCUAGUCCUUAUGUAUCUUGAUUGUUGCCUACUGAAGGGCGAGUCUGUGAUGCAUGUGCAGACUCCGCGUGCAAAUUUCCUGACAGAGAAGGUGUUGAAUUCAAUUUUCUUGAAAGAAAUUAUAAAGAAUGGUGGGAAAUUUCUGGAUGGCUAUGUUUUCGGAAAACUUGGGUGGAAAUCCCGUAACCAGAUUGCAUAUUGCCAGCAAGUUUCCCCUGGGCAAAGUCGUGAUCGCGACUUUCAUGAUGCUCAUGUCCAUAUCUGUGCUCCGAAACAACAUGCACAGAAUGAAGAUGUAGCCUUUAAAGUACAAAAAUCUAGUAACACCACGGAUGAUGAUGGUGUAUUUGAGAAGAUUGAUGAUUUUUUACGGAAGGUGAAUGAGUUGGCUGAUGAAGUUCCCACGACGUCUGAUCGUCUGAUCUGCAUUGCUGGCAAUUUUCCUGAAGGCAUGGACCAAGAGAAGAAUCAAUGA
RNAcentral lists this ribosomal RNA (1500 nucleotides) under Triticum aestivum (bread wheat). Its description in RNAcentral is "partial small subunit ribosomal RNA". The record is from RNAcentral. Lineage: Eukaryota; Viridiplantae; Streptophyta; Magnoliopsida; Poales; Poaceae.